CGAUAUCGACGUAGUUUGAUCCUGGCUCGAGGAUGAACGCUGGCGGCGUGCUUAACACAUGCAAGUCGAACGAUCGCAAGAUAGUGGCGCACGGGUGAGGAACACGUAGCUAACCUGCCUUUGGGUCUGGGAUAACGUCGCGAAAGCGACGCUAAGACCGGAUAAGCUCCCGGGUUGUAGAGACCAGAGAGAAAAGGGGCAAGACGCCUGAAGAGGGGGCUGCGGCGCAUCAGCUAGUUGGUGGGGUAAAGGCCUACCAAGGCAACGACGCGUAAGGGGUCUGAGAGGAUGAUCCCUCACACUGGGACUGAGACACGGCCCAGACUCCUACGGGAGGCAGCAGUGAGGAAUAUUGCACAAUGGGGGCAACCCUGAUGCAGCGACGCCGCGUGGGUGAUGACGGCCUUCGGGUUGUAAAGCCCUUUUGCCACUGACGAGAACGGACGGUAGGUGGCGAAUAAGCCUCGGCUAACUACGUG
This 479-nucleotide ribosomal RNA is filed under the name uncultured bacterium. RNAcentral's name for it is "bacterial SSU rRNA". It matches the Rfam family "Bacterial small subunit ribosomal RNA", at positions 1 to 507 of the family's 1533-position model. The record is from RNAcentral.